Molecule: transfer RNA, 85 nt
Filed under: Mangrovactinospora gilvigrisea
Lineage: Bacteria; Bacillati; Actinomycetota; Actinomycetes; Kitasatosporales; Streptomycetaceae
Description: Streptomyces gilvigriseus tRNA-Leu
Rfam family: tRNA
About the family: Transfer RNA (tRNA) molecules are approximately 80 nucleotides in length. Their secondary structure includes four short double-helical elements and three loops (D, anti-codon, and T loops).
Source: RNAcentral
GCGGUGGUGGAGAAAUUAGGCAGCCUCGAGGGCCUUAGGAGCCCUUGCGCGAAAGCGCGUGCGGGUUCGAGUCCCGCCCACCGCA